This 1217-nucleotide long non-coding RNA is filed under the name Nicotiana benthamiana. RNAcentral describes it as "long non-coding RNA (NBEN_LNC039611)". Lineage: Eukaryota; Viridiplantae; Streptophyta; Magnoliopsida; Solanales; Solanaceae. The record is from RNAcentral.
AUCCAUUUCGUUUUUCCUUGGACAUUUCAGCUUUAAUUUUCCCUUUAUUUGCUAAACAACAACGCUAAUGUUUUAUACAAAGCAAUGCAAAAACCAAAUAUCCAAUCAAAGCUGAUCAUGUCUCGCCAUAUUUUGCAUAGUCCAACAGCUAAAGCCGUGCAAUAUGACAAUACAUAUGGAAAAGGGAAACCAGCAAAGAAAACAAAACCACCAGUGACUUGAGACUCUAAAGGAAAUAUUAUUUUCUAACCUUUAUAAACGAUGUGUUCUCGUAACCGAAUAUAUCCUCAAGAUUCGACUAUGUUAAGCCUACAACAGAAUCAUUACCCUCCAUCUCGUGCCAGUUUAACACCUGACAGCAUGUGGCAUCUGCAUUCUCACAUAAACCAUAUAAGACAGUACGAGGAUGGAAAAGCUGAGCCAUGUCAGCUGUAUAUGCCAAAAAUCACUUAACUAUUACCAAUCUUCUUAGCAUCUUUAAGCAGCUACUGCUACCUUCUGAACACCUUUCUUUUCUGUUUUAAGAGGGGGUGCCACUUCAGGUUUCUCAAUUCCUUGUAUAUCCGUAAUCCUCAAUUUUGUUAAUUCAUAAAAAUGAAUAGGAAACGAGGAUGAGAAGUAACAGCGUGUAUAAAACAUAGCUGUGUUUCAGGCAGUAUGUUCAUUGUGGAUGAAUCAAUGACUAACCUGUCGAUGUCCUCGUGUUCGCAACAGGAAAAGAGGAUGAGAAGUAACGGCUGGACAGGGUAGAAAUAUAAAUUCCAUUAAUAUGGGGAAUAAGCUCAACCAAUUCGAUGGGUAGAAACAUAGCUGUGCAUCAAGCAGUAUGUUCAUUGUUGAUGAACCCAUGACUAACCUGUCGAUGCCCUCGUGUUCGCCGAUAAUUCUUCCGUCUCCUCUUCUUGAAUAUAAGUACUUUAGCAUCUAAUGCCUGGACCAAGAGAAGGACAGAUUAAAUUUCCUAAUCUCUCUGGAAUGAAAUAAGAUGUGUGUGUGCGCGCACGCGCAGAUGAAGCAAGUUAUGCGAACAUCCAAGCAAAGCCUGAAGAACUGAACCUAGUUCCACAUCUGUGGCAUUCCUCGAAUCAGCUGAAGUUUCUGUAAAUUACACAAGCCACUCUUGAGGUAUUAUAUAUUAUUACAUCCGUCCCAAUUUAUGUGACACUUCCUUUUUUAGUCAAUCCCAAAAAGAAUGACACCUUAAAAAAUUCUAUGAU